RNAcentral lists this small nuclear RNA (104 nucleotides) under Octodon degus (degu). The record is from RNAcentral. Lineage: Eukaryota; Metazoa; Chordata; Mammalia; Rodentia; Octodontidae.
GUGUUCACUUCGGCAGCACAUAUACUAAAAUUGGAACGAUAGAGAAAUUAGCAUGGCCCAUGCACAAGGAUGAUAUGCAAAUUUGUGAAGCAUUCCAUAUUUUU